RNAcentral lists this ribosomal RNA (792 nucleotides) under Algoriphagus yeomjeoni. RNAcentral describes it as "bacterial SSU rRNA". It matches the Rfam family "Bacterial small subunit ribosomal RNA", at positions 80 to 873 of the family's 1533-position model. The record is from RNAcentral. Lineage: Bacteria; Pseudomonadati; Bacteroidota; Cytophagia; Cytophagales; Cyclobacteriaceae.
UUCGGGUAAUUGAGAGUGGCGAACGGGUGCGUAACGCGUAUGCAACCUACCCUAUACAGGAGGAUAGCCCGGAGAAAUCUGGAUUAAUACCCCAUAGUAUCAUUGAGCUGCAUGGUUUAAUGAUUAAAGAUUCAUCGGUAUAGGAUGGGCAUGCGUCUGAUUAGCUAGUUGGCGGUGUAACGGACCACCAAGGCUACGAUCAGUAGGGGUUCUGAGAGGAAGGUCCCCCACACUGGCACUGAGAUACGGGCCAGACUCCUACGGGAGGCAGCAGUAGGGAAUAUUGGGCAAUGGACGAGAGUCUGACCCAGCCAUGCCGCGUGCAGGAAGACGGCGUUCUGCGUUGUAAACUGCUUUUAUCUGGGAAGAAAAUGCCCUUGCGAGGGAAAUUGCCGGUACCAGAUGAAUAAGCACCGGCUAACUCCGUGCCAGCAGCCGCGGUAAUACGGAGGGUGCAAGCGUUGUCCGGAUUUAUUGGGUUUAAAGGGUGCGUAGGCGGCUAUUUAAGUCAGUGGUGAAAGACUCCGGCUCAACCGGAGCAGUGCCAUUGAUACUGGAUAGCUUGAGUAUUGGAGGGGUACAUGGAAUUGAUGGUGUAGCGGUGAAAUGCAUAGAUACCAUCAGGAACACCGAUAGCGAAGGCAUUGUACUGGCCAAUAACUGACGCUGAUGCACGAAAGCAUGUGUAGCGAACAGGAUUAGAUACCCUGGUAGUCCAUGCCGUAGACGAUGAUUACUCGCUGUUAUGGCUUUAUGUUGUAGCGGCCCACCGAAAGCGUUAAGUAAUCCACC